UACGUAGGGAGCAAGCGUUGUCCGGAAUCAUUGGGCGUAAAGAGCGCGUAGGCGGUCCGGUAAGUCGGUUGUGAAAACUGGGGGCUCAACCCUCAGAGGCCGACCGAUACUGCCGGGCUAGAGUCCGGAAGAGGCGAGUGGAAUUCCUGGUGUAGCGGUGAAAUGCGCAGAUAUCAGGAAGAACACCCGUGGCUAAGGCGGCUCUCUAGUACGGUACUGACGCUGAGACGCGAAAGCGUGGGGAGCGAACAGG
This 253-nucleotide ribosomal RNA is filed under the name uncultured bacterium. RNAcentral's name for it is "partial 16S ribosomal RNA". It matches the Rfam family "Bacterial small subunit ribosomal RNA", at positions 524 to 776 of the family's 1533-position model. The record is from RNAcentral.